GGCAGGCUAGAGUCUUGUAGAGGGGGGUAGAAUUUCAGGUGUAGCGGUGAAAUGCGUAGAGAUCUGAAGGAAUACCAGUGGCGAAGGCGGCCCCCUGGACAAAGACUGACGCUCAGAUGCGAAAGCGUGGGUAGCAAACAGGAUUAGAUACCCUGGUAGUCCACGCCGUAAACGCUGUCUACUUGGAGGUUGAGGUUUUAGACUUUGGCUUUCGGCGCUAACGCAUUAAGUAGACCGCCUGGGGAGUACGGCCGCAAGGUUAAAACUCAAAUGAAUUGACGGGGGCCCGCACAAGCGGUGGAGCAUGUGGUUUAAUUCGAUGCAACGCGAAGAACCUUACCUACUCUUGACAUCCAGCGAAGCCUUUAGAGAUAGAGGUGUGCCUUCGGGAGCGCUGAGACAGGUGCUGCAUGGCUGUCGUCAGCUCGUGUUGUGAAAUGUUGGGUUAAGUCCCGCAACGAGCGCAACCCUUAUCCUUGUUUGCCAGCACAUAAUGGUGGGAACUCCAGGGAGACUGCCGGUGAUAAACCGGAGGAAGGUGGGGACGACGUCAAGUCAUCAUGGCCCUUACGAGUAGGGCUACACACGUGCUACAAUGGCAGAUACAGAGGGCAGCGAAGCUGCGAAGUGGGGCGAAUCCCUUAAAGUCUGUCGUAGUCCGGAUUGGAGUCUGCAACUCGACUCCAUGAAGUCGGAAUCGCUAGUAAUCGUGGAUCAGAAUGCCACGGUGAAUACGUUCCCGGGCCUUGUACACACCGCCCGU
RNAcentral lists this ribosomal RNA (763 nucleotides) under uncultured bacterium. RNAcentral describes it as "bacterial SSU rRNA". It matches the Rfam family "Bacterial small subunit ribosomal RNA", at positions 635 to 1397 of the family's 1533-position model. The record is from RNAcentral.